This 72-nucleotide transfer RNA is filed under the name Candidatus Woesearchaeota archaeon. RNAcentral describes it as "tRNA-Thr". It matches the Rfam family "tRNA". Rfam says of the family: Transfer RNA (tRNA) molecules are approximately 80 nucleotides in length. Their secondary structure includes four short double-helical elements and three loops (D, anti-codon, and T loops). Further hydrogen bonds mediate the characteristic L-shaped molecular structure. tRNAs have two regions of fundamental functional importance: the anti-codon, which is responsible for specific mRNA codon recognition, and the 3' end, to which the tRNAs corresponding amino acid is attached (by aminoacyl-tRNA synthetases). tRNAs cope with the degeneracy of the genetic code in two manners: having more than one tRNA (with a specific anti-codon) for a particular amino acid; and 'wobble' base-pairing, i.e. permitting non-standard base-pairing at the 3rd anti-codon position. Lineage: Archaea; Nanobdellati; Candidatus Woesearchaeota. The record is from RNAcentral.
GCCUCUGUAGCUUAACGGUGGAGCACAGCCUUGGUAAGGCUGAGGUUCCGAGUUCAAAUCUCGGCAGAGGCU